Molecule: long non-coding RNA, 782 nt
Filed under: Mytilus galloprovincialis (Mediterranean mussel)
Lineage: Eukaryota; Metazoa; Mollusca; Bivalvia; Mytilida; Mytilidae
Source: RNAcentral
GUUGUAGAGAAGCAUUGUUAGCUGUACAUGUCUGCCUGGCAUGGUUCAUCUGACCUUGACCUCAUUUUCAAGGUUCAUUGGUCUAUGUUUAGUUAUCUUGGUUAAUGUUCUGUUUGUGUGAUAGUUGUAAUAAAGCUUAGCUUUAUACUUAGGACUAUCAACAUAAUAUCAAUGAUUAGUAAAGAAGGCGAGACAUUUCAGCGUGUGCACUCUUGUUUAUAUUUAAGCUUGCAUUGUAGCGUCUUUAAUGACUUUAUCUUUCACAUAAACUAAUUGAAUCGACUAAAGUAGAAACUUUUAAAAAGUGUUUAAAAACGUCAAAAAUCUUUCAUCAGAUGAACCUAAAAUUUGAGGCCAAAAUAGACCCUUACCUUUCUCCUUUCUUACCAGUAUUAUUAUUAUACGACCGCAAAAAUUUUAUUUUUUUGGUCGUAUAUUGCUAUCACGUUGGCGUCGUCGUCGUCGUCCGAAUACUUUUAGUUUUCGCACUCUAACUUUAGUAAAAGUGAAUAGAAAUCAAUGAAAUUUUAACACAAGGUUUAUGACCACAAAAGGAAGGUUGGGAUUUGAUUUUGGGAGUUUUGGUCCAACAUUUUAGGAAUUAGGGGCCAAAAAGGGCCCAAAUAAGCAUUUUCUUGGUUUUCGCACUAUAACUUUAGUUUAAGUGAAUAGAAAUCUAUGAAAUUUUGACACAAGGUUUAUGACCACAAAAGGAAGGUUGGGAUUGAUUUUGGGAGUUUUGGUUCCAACAGCUUAGGAAUUAAGGGCCAAAAAAGGGCCCA